UACGUAGGGGGCGAGCGUUGUCCGAAUUUACUGGGCGUAAAGAGCGCGUAGGCGGGUUGUUAAGUGAGAGGUGAAAGGUUCAGGGCUCAACCCGAACAGUGCCUUUCAUACUGGCGACCUUGAGUGUGGGAGAGGCGAGUGGAAUUUCUGGUGUAGCGGUGAAAUGCGUAGAUAUCAGAAGGAACACCCAUGGCGAAGGCAGCUCGCUGGCCUACAACUGACGCUGAGGCGCGAAAGCGUGGGGAGCAAACAGG
RNAcentral lists this ribosomal RNA (254 nucleotides) under uncultured bacterium. RNAcentral describes it as "partial 16S ribosomal RNA". It matches the Rfam family "Bacterial small subunit ribosomal RNA", at positions 524 to 776 of the family's 1533-position model. The record is from RNAcentral.